This is a non-coding RNA of beta proteobacterium KB13, 115 nucleotides long. Lineage: Bacteria; Pseudomonadati; Pseudomonadota; Betaproteobacteria; Nitrosomonadales. The record is from Rfam.
UUUGGCGGACAUAGCGAGUUGGAACCACUCCUUCCCAUUUCGAACAGGACAGUGAAACGAUUCAGCGCCGAUAAUAGUGUGAUCUUUUUCAUGCGAAUGUAGGACACCGCCAAAC